AUUGAACGCUGGCGGCAGGCCUAACACAUGCAAGUCGAGCGGCAGCGGGAAAGUAGCUUGCUACUUUUGCCGGCGAGCGGCGGACGGGUGAGUAAUGCCUGGGAAAUUGCCCAGUCGAGGGGGAUAACAGUUGGAAACGACUGCUAAUACCGCAUACGCCCUACGGGGAAAGCAGGGGACCUUCGGGCCUUGCGCGAUUGGAUAUGCCCAGGUGGGAUUAGCGAGUUGGUGAGGUAAUGGCUCACCAAGGCGACGGUCCCUAGCUGGUCGGAGAGGAUGAUCAGCCACACUGGAACGGAGACACCGUCCAGACUCCGACGGGAGGCAGCAGUGGGGAAUAUUGCACAAUGGGGGAAACCCUGAUGCAGCCAUGCCGCGUGUGUGAAGAGGGCCUUCGGGUUGUAAAGCACUUUCAGCGAGGAGGAAAGGUUGAUGCCUAAUACGUAUCAACUGUGACGUUACUCGCAGAAGAAGCACCGGCUAACUCCGUGCCAGCAGCCGCCGUAA
This 507-nucleotide ribosomal RNA is filed under the name uncultured bacterium. RNAcentral's name for it is "partial 16S ribosomal RNA". It matches the Rfam family "Bacterial small subunit ribosomal RNA", at positions 29 to 523 of the family's 1533-position model. The record is from RNAcentral.